GACGAACGCUGGCGGCGUGCCUAAUACAUGCAAGUCGAGCGAACAGACGAGGAGCUUGCUCCUCUUACGUGAGCGGCGGACGGGUGAGUAACACGUGGAUAACCUACCUAUAAGACGGGGACAACUUUGGGAAACCGGAGCUAAUACCGGAUAAUAUCUUGAAACACAUGGUUUAAUAGUGAAAGAUGGUUUUGCUGUCCCUUAUAGUUGGACCCCCGUGGCAUUAGCUAGUUGUUAAGGUAACGGCUUACCAAGGCAACGAGGCGUAGCCGACCUGAGAGGGUGAUAGGCCACACUGGAACGGGACCACGGUCCAGACUCCUGGGGGAGGCAGCAGAAGGGAACCUUCCGCAGUGGGGGAAAGCCUGACGGAGCAACGCGGCGUAAGUGAGAAAGGUCUUCGGUUCGUAAAACUCGGUUAUAGGGGAAAAACAAAUGUGUAAGUAACUGUGCACGUCUUGACGGUACCUAAUCAGAAAGCCACGGCUAACUACGUG
RNAcentral lists this ribosomal RNA (497 nucleotides) under uncultured bacterium. RNAcentral's name for it is "partial 16S ribosomal RNA". It matches the Rfam family "Bacterial small subunit ribosomal RNA", at positions 28 to 507 of the family's 1533-position model. The record is from RNAcentral.